RNAcentral lists this ribosomal RNA (778 nucleotides) under bacterium. Its description in RNAcentral is "bacterial SSU rRNA". The record is from RNAcentral.
UUKUAGARRRKKUGAUCAUGGCUCAGGACGAACGCUGGCGGCGUGCCUAAUACAUGCAAGUCGAACGAACUCUGGUAUUGAUUGGUGCUUGCAUCAUGAUUUACAUUUGAGUGAGUGGCGAACUGGUGAGUAACACGUGGGAAACCUGCCCAGAAGCGGGGGAUAACACCUGGAAACAGAUGCUAAUACCGCAUAACAACUUGGACCGCAUGGUCCGAGUUUGAAAGAUGGCUUCGGCUAUCACUUUUGGAUGGUCCCGCGGCGUAUUAGCUAGAUGGUGRGGUAACGGCUCACCAUGGCAAUGAUACGUAGCCGACCUGAGAGGGUAAUCGGCCACAUUGGGACUGAGACACGGCCCAAACUCCUACGGGAGGCAGCAGUAGGGAAUCUUCCACAAUGGACGAAAGUCUGAUGGAGCAACGCCGCGUGAGUGAAGAAGGGUUUCGGCUCGUAAAACUCUGUUGUUAAAGAAGAACAUAUCUGAGAGUAACUGUUCAGGUAUUGACGGUAUUUAACCAGAAAGCCACGGCUAACUACGUGCCAGCAGCCGCGGUAAUACGUAGGUGGCAAGCGUUGUCCGGAUUUAUUGGGCGUAAAGCGAGCGCAGGCGGUUUUUUAAGUCUGAUGUGAAAGCCUUCGGCUCAACCGAAGAAGUGCAUCGGAAACUGGGAAACUUGAGUGCAGAAGAGGACAGUGGAACUCCAUGUGUAGCGGUGAAAUGCGUAGAUAUAUGGAAGAACACCAGUGGCGAAGGCGGCUGUCKGUCUKUWAACKAGCG